CCUACGGGAGGCAGCAGUGGGGAAUAUUGCACAAUGGGCGAAAGCCUGAUGCAGCAACGCCGCGUGAACGAAGAAGGCUCUUGGGUCGUAAAGUUCUGUUCUGAGGGAAGAAGAAAGUGACGGUACCUCAGGAGAAAGCCCCGGCUAACUACGUGCCAGCAGCCGCGGUAAUACGUAGGGGGCAAGCGUUAUCCGGAUUUACUGGGUGUAAAGGGCGUGUAGGCGGGCAUGCAAGCCAGAAGUGAAAUCUGGGGGCUUAACCCCCAAACUGCUUUUGGAACUGCGUGUCUUGAGUGAUGGAGAGG
RNAcentral lists this ribosomal RNA (305 nucleotides) under uncultured bacterium. RNAcentral describes it as "bacterial SSU rRNA". It matches the Rfam family "Bacterial small subunit ribosomal RNA", at positions 338 to 657 of the family's 1533-position model. The record is from RNAcentral.